UGGAAAUUAUAAAAGGUAAUUGGAUGUUUGUUUGGGGGGGAGGUGUGAUUGGAAACAUUCUAAUUUAACACUUAAUGUUAAUGUUGUAUAAUGUGUUUUUGAGAGAGAGAAUGUACAAAGGCUACAUGGGAGUACUGAUUUCGGAGUGCAUCCGAGGCAUGUUGAAAUUUUGGGGAAGGGUGUUUUGUUUUGUUUUACAACAUUGCCAGCGAUUAGUGCCCAAAAUAAGCUCACCAGCUGAAUAUAGACAGCCUAAAAAUCUCUAACAGGUUCAUUGACAUAAAUGAUCCCGUGAUUUGAUCCAA
Molecule: small nucleolar RNA, 305 nt
Filed under: Chrysemys picta bellii (western painted turtle)
Lineage: Eukaryota; Metazoa; Chordata; Testudines; Emydidae
Description: Small Cajal body-specific RNA 7 (ENSCPBG00000018332.1)
Rfam family: Small Cajal body-specific RNA 7
Source: Rfam by way of RNAcentral